UACAGGGGGGGCAAGCGUUGUUCGGAUUCAUUGGGCGUAAAGGGUGUGUAGGUGGCGCCGUAAGUCAGGUGUGAAAUUUCGGAGCUUAACUCCGAAACUGCAUUUGAUACUGCGGUGCUUGAGGACUGGAGAGGAGACUGGAAUUCAUGGUGUAGCAGUGAAAUGCGUAGAGAUCAUGAGGAAGACCAGUGGCGAAGGCGGGUCUCUGGACAGUUCCUGACACUGAGACACGAAGGCCAGGGGAGCAAACGGG
RNAcentral lists this ribosomal RNA (253 nucleotides) under uncultured bacterium. Its description in RNAcentral is "partial 16S ribosomal RNA". It matches the Rfam family "Bacterial small subunit ribosomal RNA", at positions 524 to 776 of the family's 1533-position model. The record is from RNAcentral.